This 450-nucleotide ribosomal RNA is filed under the name uncultured bacterium. RNAcentral's name for it is "partial 16S ribosomal RNA". It matches the Rfam family "Bacterial small subunit ribosomal RNA", at positions 28 to 507 of the family's 1533-position model. The record is from RNAcentral.
GAUGAACGCUGGCGGCGUGCCUAACACAUGCCAGUCGAGCGGCAGCGAGGGGUGCUUGCACCCUGUCGGCGAGCGGCGGACGGCUGAGUAGCGCGUGGGAACGUGCCCCAAAGUGAGGAAUAACUGCCCGAAAGGGUAGCUAAUACCGCAUAUUAUCUUCGGAUCAAAGGAUUUAUCCGCUUUGGGAGCGGCUCGCGUCGGAUUAGGUAGUUGGUGAGGUAAUGGCUCACCAAGCCGACGAUCCGUAGCUGGUCUGAGAGGAUGACCAGCCAGACUGGAACUGAGACACGGUCCAGACUCCUACGGGAGGCAGAGUGAGGAAUCUUCCACAAUGGGCGAAAGCCUGAUGGAGCAACGCCGCGUGCAGGACGAAGGCCUUCGGGUUGUAAACUGCUUUUAUAAGUGAGGAAUAUGACGGUAACUUAUGAAUAAGGAUCGGCUAACUACGUG